AAAGAUUAGUCUUAUAAUUCGUGUAUGGGUUCUUAACAAAUUUUGAUCAAUCUAUUUUCAUAUGUCAAAAUGAUUCUUUGUUCAUCAAGUCUAAAAUAAGAUGCUCUUGCACUAAUACAGAUGACAAUUCAUCCUUUAGAUAAUGAUCGAACAACAUUCCAGAUAAUCUUAUAACUUAUAAAUUUCAAAGAUGCUCAAGUUGAAUGAGAUGACUUGUAUGAAUCAUACUCUUGUAACUGAAACUAUUUAUGUUGCAGGGGAGAAGUUGUUGAACAAUUCAGCAAAGUUUAUAGUGGUCAUAUGGGUUUUUGUAGUGCUUAUAUUGACCUCAAGUUAUACAGCAACUUUAGCAUCAAUGAUGACAGUUAAAGAAAUGCAAUUAAAAGCCAGAGGAAACUACAUAGGUUACCAGGGAAGUUCAGUGGUCACCACACAUGCUGUACAGAACUUGAAUUUUAGUGGGGCAAAACCUUACAAUUCAGCUGAAGAAUAUGCUAAUGCUUUAUCAAGAGGGAGUAAGCAUGGUGGUGUUUCUGCUAUUGUUGACGAGGUACCAUACAUUAAGGUCUUCCUUGCAAAGUAUUCUACAGGCUACUCCAUGAUUAAAUUCGCGUCUACUACCAAUGGUUUUGGCUUUGUAAGUAACCUCCUUAAUUUUUGCAUCCUCCUUUAUUCAAGAACAUAGAUGCUGGAAUAUCACUGCACCUAGCAGAGAAGCAUUAUAUGUGUACGUUUGUCAAUUAUAAACAGAUAUGCAAGUACAAAAUUACUAAAAUGAUCACGCUUUAAAGCUGAUGAGUAAAUUUGUUUUCACCUUUUGGAUCCAGGCUUUCCCUAAAGGCUCGAGAUUGGCAAAAGACAUGUCAGUCCAAAUUGAAAAACUGAGAGAAGAAGGAAAGCUUUUAGAGAUGGAAAAUUCCUGGUUUCCUUAUGAUGCAAAUCACAUGUUUCAGGACACAACAAAUCCUCCCAAUGCUCUUACUCUCAGCAGCUUUCGUGGUUUGUUCCUUGUUAGUGGGG
Molecule: long non-coding RNA, 1020 nt
Filed under: Fragaria vesca (wild strawberry)
Lineage: Eukaryota; Viridiplantae; Streptophyta; Magnoliopsida; Rosales; Rosaceae
Description: long non-coding RNA (FVES_LNC003725)
Source: RNAcentral